This 105-nucleotide small nuclear RNA is filed under the name Salvator merianae (Argentine black and white tegu). The record is from RNAcentral. Lineage: Eukaryota; Metazoa; Chordata; Lepidosauria; Squamata; Teiidae.
CUUAAUAGUGCUUGCUUGACAACCCAUAAAAGAGGAUAACAAAGAAGAUUAGCAUAGCCCCUAAGUGAGGAUGAUCCAGCCAUUCAUCAGACAUUUCAAUUUUUU